RNAcentral lists this ribosomal RNA (246 nucleotides) under uncultured bacterium. RNAcentral describes it as "partial 16S ribosomal RNA". It matches the Rfam family "Bacterial small subunit ribosomal RNA", at positions 116 to 355 of the family's 1533-position model. The record is from RNAcentral.
CGUGGGUAACCUGCCCAAGAGACUGGGAUAACACCUGGAAACAGAUGCUAAUACCGGAUAACAACACUAGACGCAUGUCUAGAGUUUAAAAGAUGGUUCUGCUAUCACUCUUGGAUGGACCUGCGGUGCAUUAGCUAGUUGGUAAGGUAACGGCUUACCAAGGCAAUGAUGCAUAGCCGAGUUGAGAGACUGAUCGGCCACAUUGGGACUGAGACACGGUCCAAACUCCUACGGGAGGCAGCAGUA